UGUAUGGGGAUCUGCCCGAUAGAGGGGGAUAACUACUGGAAACGGUGGCUAAUACCGCAUAAUGUCUGCGGACCAAAGCAGGGGCUCUUCGGACCUUGCACUAUCGGAUGAACCCAUAUGGGAUUAGCUAGUAGGUGGGGUAAAGGCUCACCUAGGCGACGAUCUCUAGCUGGUCUGAGAGGAUGAUCAGCCACACUGGGACUGAGACACGGCCCAG
Molecule: ribosomal RNA, 217 nt
Filed under: uncultured bacterium
Lineage: Bacteria
Description: partial 16S ribosomal RNA
Rfam family: Bacterial small subunit ribosomal RNA
Source: RNAcentral